RNAcentral lists this ribosomal RNA (497 nucleotides) under uncultured bacterium. Its description in RNAcentral is "partial 16S ribosomal RNA". It matches the Rfam family "Bacterial small subunit ribosomal RNA", at positions 28 to 507 of the family's 1533-position model. The record is from RNAcentral.
GAUGAACGCUGGCGGCGUGCCUAAUACAUGCAGGUCGAGCGAACGGACGAGAAGCUUGCUUCUCUGAUGUUAGCGGCGGACGGGUGAGUAACACGUGGAUAACCUACCUAUAAGACUGGGAUAACUUCGGGAAACCGGAGCUAAUACCGGAUAAUAUUUUGAACCGCAUGGUUCAACAGUGAAAGACGGUCUUGCUGUCACUUAUAGAUGGUUCCGCGCUGCAUUAGCUAGUUGGUAAGGUAACGGCUUACCAAGGCAACGAUGCAUAGCCGACCUGAGAGGGUGAUCAGCCACACUGGAACUGAGACACGGUCCAGACUCCUACGGGAGGCAGCAGUAGGGAAUCUUGCGCAAUGGGCGAAAGCCUGACGGAGCAACGCCGCGUGAGUGAUGAAGGUCUUCGGAUCGUAAAACUCUGUUAUUAGGGAAGAACAUAUGUGUAAGUAACUGUGCACAUCUUGACGGUACCUAAACAGAAAGCCACGGCUAACUACGUG